GACGAACGCUGGCGGCGUGCCUAACACAUGCAAGUCGAACGGAAGUAAGUGCUUCGGUAUUUACUUUAGUGGCGAACGGGUGAGUAACGCGUAUCGAACCUGCCUCAUACUGGGGGAUAGCCUUGCGAAAGCAAGAUUAAUACCCCAUGGUUCCAAGUCACCGCAUGGUGGUUUGUAUAAAGAUUUAUCGGUAUGAGAUGGCGAUGCGUCCCAUUAGCUAGUUGGCGGGGUAACGGCCCACCAAGGCGACGAUGGGUAGGGGUUCUGAGAGGAAGGUCCCCCACAUUGGAACUGAGACACGGUCCAA
Molecule: ribosomal RNA, 307 nt
Filed under: uncultured bacterium
Lineage: Bacteria
Description: bacterial SSU rRNA
Rfam family: Bacterial small subunit ribosomal RNA
Source: RNAcentral